RNAcentral lists this ribosomal RNA (276 nucleotides) under uncultured prokaryote. Its description in RNAcentral is "partial 16S ribosomal RNA". It matches the Rfam family "Bacterial small subunit ribosomal RNA", at positions 524 to 801 of the family's 1533-position model. The record is from RNAcentral.
UACGUAGGGGCUAGCGUUAUCCGGAAUUACUGGGCGUAAAGGGUGCGUAGGUGGUUUCUUAAGUCAGAGGUGAAAGGCUACGGCUCAACCGUAGUAAGCCUUUGAAACUGGGAAACUUGAGUGCAGGAGAGGAGAGUGGAAUUCCUAGUGUAGCGGUGAAAUGCGUAGAUAUUAGGAGGGACACCAGUGGCGAAGGCGGCUCACUGGUCCGGCACUGACGCUGAGGUGCGAAAGCGUGGGGAGCAAACAGGAUUAGAUACCCGCGUAGUCCCUGAG